GACGAACGCUGGCGGCGUGCUUAACACAUGCAAGUCGAACGGAAAGGCCCUGCUUGCUGGGUACUCGAGUGGCGAACGGGUGAGUAACACGUGGGUGAUCUGCCCUGCACUUCGGGAUAAGCUUGGGCAACUGGGUCUAAUACCGGAUAGGAACCAUCUUUAGUGUGGUGGUUGGAAAGUUUUUUCGGUGUAGGAUGAGCUCGCGGCCUAUCAGCUUGUUGGUGGGGUAAUGGCCUACCAAGGCGGCGACGGGUAGCCGGCCUGAGAGGGUGUACGGCCACAUUGGGACUGAGAUACGGCCCAGACUCCUACGGGAGGCAGCAGUGGGGAAUAUUGCACAAUGGGCGCAAGCCUGAUGCAGCGACGCCGCGUGGGGGAUGAAGGCCUUCGGGUUGUAAACUCCUUUCGCUAGGGACGAAGCGUUGUUGUGACGGUACCUAGAUAAGAAGCACCGGCUAACUACGUG
This 466-nucleotide ribosomal RNA is filed under the name uncultured bacterium. RNAcentral describes it as "partial 16S ribosomal RNA". It matches the Rfam family "Bacterial small subunit ribosomal RNA", at positions 28 to 507 of the family's 1533-position model. The record is from RNAcentral.